AUGGCGCACCCACCGCCGCUUCUCUCUUCUCCACCAACCUCCGUCGCUUUGAUCCAGGCCGAGUAUCCGCAAAGCCGCUGCUCUGUCCUCAACCCAGCUCUGUCGCUCCGCUCGACACCGGGCAUCUCCGCAGCGACGCUCCAUGGCGAGAUUGGUCGCCGCCCCCUCCGUGAAAUUCACGGCGAUUUGGGGACUAGAAUAGUUCGUGGUCAUGAAUAUGUUACUUUCCUUCUUUCUGCUCCCGCCUGUGUGUACAUUAACGCUUUAGGGGCACAGAAGCAUGAUUCUAGGAAACAGAAAAUGGUUUGGAGGUCUGACCAGCCUUGCCGCUUCUACAUGAUUGAUGGAUCUUGCAAGUAUGGUUCAGACUGUUGGUUCUCUCAUGGACUUGACUCAUUUGGGAGGAUAGAGAUGCAAAUCAGGGUUGCCCCACCAGCCUACAAUCCAAAUGUGAUGGAUUUCAAUAGUGAAACUCGUAUUUAUAUCACCUUCUCUGCUCAAAGUAGAGAAAUAUGCACUGAAUCAAAGGUCCGUUCGUAUUUCAGCCAUUUUGGGCCUGUCAUGUCUGUGACUAUUCCGCAUGGAAGGUCAUAUGGUUUUGUGAGAUUCAUGCUCCCUGGGACAGUGAGGCUGCUUUUAUCAAACUAG
Molecule: ribosomal RNA, 648 nt
Filed under: Triticum aestivum (bread wheat)
Lineage: Eukaryota; Viridiplantae; Streptophyta; Magnoliopsida; Poales; Poaceae
Description: partial small subunit ribosomal RNA
Source: RNAcentral